This 440-nucleotide ribosomal RNA is filed under the name uncultured bacterium. RNAcentral's name for it is "partial 16S ribosomal RNA". It matches the Rfam family "Bacterial small subunit ribosomal RNA", at positions 338 to 795 of the family's 1533-position model. The record is from RNAcentral.
CCUACGGGAGACAGCAGUGGGGAAUAUUGCACAAUGGGGGAAACCCUGAUGCAGCGACGCCGCGUGAGCGAUGACGUAUUUCUGUAUGUAAAGCUCUAUCAGCAGGGAAGAAAAUUGCGGUACCUGCCUAAUACGCCCCGGCUAACUACGUUCCAGCAGCCGCGGUACUACGUCGGGGGCCAGCGUUAUCCGGAUUUACUGGGUGUAAAGGGAGCGUAGACGGCGAUGCAAGCCAGAUGUGAAAGCCCGGGGCUCAACCCCGGGACUGCAUUUGGAACUGUAUAGCUGGAGUGUCGGAGAGGCAGGCGGAAUUCCUAGUGUAGCGGUGAAAUGCGUAGAUAUUAGGAGGAACACCAGUGGCGAAGGCGGCCUGCUGGACGAUGACUGACGUUGAGGCUCGAAAGCGUGGGGAGCAAACAGGAUUAGAUACCCGAGUAGUC